This 75-nucleotide non-coding RNA is filed under the name unclassified sequences. RNAcentral's name for it is "NiCo sequence". It matches the Rfam family "NiCo (Nickel/Cobalt) riboswitch aptamer". The record is from RNAcentral.
GCAGUACGAACUGAGCAGGCGCGGGCGAUCCCGCAGCCGGGCCCGAGGGCAGUGGAUCCGAUCCGCAGGACAGUA